GAUGAACGCUGGCGGCGUGCCUAAUACAUGCAAGUCGAGCGAACAGACGAGGAGCUUGCUCCUCUGACGUUAGCGGCGGACGGGUGAGUAACACGUGGAUAACCUACCUAUAAGACUGGGAUAACUUCGGGAAACCGGAGCUAAUACCGGAUAAUAUAUUGAACCGCAUGGUUCAAUAGUGAAAGACGGUUUUGCUGUCACUUAUAGAUGGAUCCGCGCCGCAUUAGCUAGUUGGUAAGGUAACGGCUUACCAAGGCAACGAUGCGUAGCCGACCUGAGAGGGUGAUCGGCCACACUGGAACUGAGACACGGUCCAGACUCCUACGGGAGGCAGCAGUAGGGAAUCUUCCGCAAUGGGCGAAAGCCUGACGCAGCAACGCCGCGUGAGUGAUGAAGGUCUUCGGAUCGUAAAACUCUGUUAGUAGGGAAGAACAAAUGUGUAAGUAACUAUGCACGUCUUGACGGUACCUAAUCAGAAAGCCACGGCUAACUACGUG
RNAcentral lists this ribosomal RNA (497 nucleotides) under uncultured bacterium. RNAcentral describes it as "partial 16S ribosomal RNA". It matches the Rfam family "Bacterial small subunit ribosomal RNA", at positions 28 to 507 of the family's 1533-position model. The record is from RNAcentral.